UAAGGAAAUCUGAGUCCAAGAGGGACAAGUC
This 31-nucleotide non-coding RNA is filed under the name Mus musculus (house mouse). The record is from RNAcentral. Lineage: Eukaryota; Metazoa; Chordata; Mammalia; Rodentia; Muridae.